RNAcentral lists this ribosomal RNA (496 nucleotides) under uncultured bacterium. RNAcentral describes it as "partial 16S ribosomal RNA". It matches the Rfam family "Bacterial small subunit ribosomal RNA", at positions 29 to 507 of the family's 1533-position model. The record is from RNAcentral.
AUGAACGCUGGCGGCGUGCCUAAUCCAUGCAAGUCGAGCGCACGGACGAGAAGCUUGCUUCUCUGAUGUUAGCGGCGGACGGGUGAGUAACACGUGGAUAACCUACCUAUAAGACUGGGAUAACUUCGGGAAACCGGAGCUAAUACCGGAUAAUAUUUUGAACCGCAUGGUUCAAAAGUGAAAGACGGUCUUGCUGUCACUUAUAGAUGGAUCCGCGCUGCAUUAGCUAGUUGGUAAGGUAACGGCUUACCUAGGCAACGAUGCAUAGCCGACCUGAGAGGGUGAUCGGCCACACUGGAACUGAGACACGGUCCAGACUCCUACGGGAGGCAGCAGUAGGGAAUCUUCCGCAAUGGGCGAAAGCCUGACGGAGCAACGCCGCGUGAGUGAUGAAGGUCUUCGGAUCGUAAAACUCUGUUAUUAGGGAAGAACAUAUGUGUAAGUAACUGUGCACAUCUUGACGGUACCUAAUCAGAAAGCCACGGCUAACUACGUG